This 72-nucleotide transfer RNA is filed under the name Diretmus argenteus (silver spinyfin). Its description in RNAcentral is "tRNA-Gly". It matches the Rfam family "tRNA". Rfam says of the family: Transfer RNA (tRNA) molecules are approximately 80 nucleotides in length. Their secondary structure includes four short double-helical elements and three loops (D, anti-codon, and T loops). Lineage: Eukaryota; Metazoa; Chordata; Actinopteri; Trachichthyiformes; Diretmidae. The record is from RNAcentral.
ACCUUUCUAGUACCAACACUAGUAUGAGUGACUUCCAAUCACCCGGUCCUGGUUAAAAUCCAGGGAAAGGUA